RNAcentral lists this ribosomal RNA (253 nucleotides) under uncultured bacterium. RNAcentral describes it as "partial 16S ribosomal RNA". It matches the Rfam family "Bacterial small subunit ribosomal RNA", at positions 524 to 776 of the family's 1533-position model. The record is from RNAcentral.
UACGUAGGGGGCGAGCGUUGUCCGGAUUUAUUGGGCGUAAAGAGCGUGUAGGCGGUCAGGUAGGUCCGUUGUGAAAACUCGAGGCUCAACCUCGAGACGCCGAUGGAAACCAUCUGACUAGAGUCCGGAAGAGGAGAGUGGAAUUCCUGGUGUAGCGGUGAAAUGCGCAGAUAUCAGGAAGAACACCCGUGGCGAAGGCGGCUCUCUAGUACGGUACUGACGCUGAGACGCGAAAGCGUGGGGAGCGAACAGG